Mytilus californianus (California mussel) is the source of this 4387-nucleotide long non-coding RNA. RefSeq lists it as uncharacterized. The record is from RefSeq and is a predicted model, not a curated record. NCBI's taxonomy places the organism in Eukaryota, Metazoa, Mollusca, Bivalvia, Mytilida, Mytilidae. The transcript has 3 exons.
AAAAGAAAUUGUGGGGGGUCAAUUUUUUCUCAUUUCAGAUUUCAGAAAUUAAAAAGAAUUAUUCUUCAAAUAUUAUUUUUUUUUCAAAUUUCAAAUAUUGAAAAAUUUCAAGAAGUAAUCUUUAAUUGCACAGUAUGGCGCAUUAGAUUUGUAAAAUCUUUGACCACAUUUAUUUAUUUGUUAUGCCGAAUCUAACGGUGUAUUUAGAUUUUUAAUUUUGGGUCCAGUUUUCAAAUUGGUCUACAUUAAGGUCCAAAGGGUCCAAAAUUAAACUUUUGUUUGAUUUUAACAAAAAUUGAAUAUUUGGGGUUCUUUGAUAUGUUGAAUCUAUACAUGUAUUUAGAUUUUUGAUUUUUGGCCCAGUUUUCAAGUUGGUCCAAAUCGGGGUCCAAAAUUAAACUUUGUUUGAUUUCAACAAAAAUUGAAUAUAUGGGGUUCUUUGAUAUGCUGAAUCUAACCAUGUAUUUAGAUUUUUAUUUGUGGACCCCGCUAUCAAAUUGGUUCAUAUUGAGGUCAAAGUUGGGGUCCAAAAUUAAACUUUGUUUGAUUUCAUCAAAAAUUUAAUUAUUGGGGUUCUUUGAUAUGCUGAAUCUAAACAUGUGUUUAGAUUUUUGAUUUUGGGCCCAGUUUUCAAGUUGGUCCAAAUUGGGGUCCAAAAUUAAACUUUGUUUGAUUUCAACAAAAAUUGAAUAUAUGGGGUUCUUUGAUAUGCUGAAUCUAAACAUGUAUUAAGAUUUUAGAUUUUUGGCCCAGUUUUCAAGUUGGUCCAAAUUGGGGUCCAAAAUUAAACUUUGUUUGAUUUCAACAAAAAUUGAAUAUAUGGGGUUCUUUGAUAUGCUGAAUCUUACCAUGUAUUUAGAUUUUUUAUUUGUGGGCCCGCUAUCAAAUUGGUUCAUAUUGAGGUCAAAAGGGUCCAAAAUUAAACUUUGUUUGAUUUCAUCAAAAAUUGAAUUCUUGGGGUUCUUUGAUAUGCCAAAUCUAACCGUGUUUUUAGAUUUUUAAUUUUGGGUCCCGUUUUUAUACGACCGCAAAAAAAUUUUGUGGUCGUAUAUUGGUAUGACGUUGGCGUUGUCGUCGUCCGGCGUCAUCGUCCGAAGACACAUUGGUUUUCGCACUCUAACUUUAGUUUAAGUGAAUGGAUCUUUUUGAAAUUUGACCAUAAGGUUAAAUACCACAAAAGGAAGGUUGGGAUUGAUUUUGGAGGUUAUGGUACCAACAGUUAAGGAAUUAGGGGCCAAAAAGGGGCCAAAAAUAAGCAUGUUUGUAACUUCCAGACAUAACUUGUGUGUUAGUGUAUGGAUCUCUUUGACAUUGUACCACAAGGUUCCAUAUCACACAGGGAAUGCUGGGAUUGAUUUUGGGGGGUAAUUGCCUCAAAAUAUUAGGAAUUAGGGGCCAAAAAAGGGGCAAAAAACAAGCAUUUUUCUAGUUUCAUGACAAUAACUUGUGUGUAAGUGUAUGGAUCUUUCUGAAAUUGUACUACAAGGUUCCAUUUCACAAAGGGAAAGCUGGAAUUGAGUUUGGGGGUAAUUGCCCAAAACGUUUAGGAAUAAGGGGCCAAAAAGGGGCCAAAAAUAAGCAUUUUUCUAGUUUCCAGACAAUAACUUGUGUUCAAGUGUAUGGAUCUCUUUGAAAUUGUACCACAAGGUUCCAUAUCACACAGGGAAUGCUGGGAUUGAUUUUGGGGGUAAUUGCCUCAAAAUAUAAGGAAUUAGGGGCCAAAAAAGGGGAAAAAAACAAGCAUUUUUCUAGUUUCAUGAUAAUAACUUGUGUGUAAGUGUAUGGAUCUUUCUGAAAUUGUACUACAAGGUUCCAUAUCACAAAGGGAAGGCUGUAAUUGAUUUUGGGGGUAAUUGCCUCAAAAUUUUAGGAAUUAGGGGCCAAAAAAGGGGCAAAAAACAAGCAUUUUUCUAGUUUCAUGACAAUAACUUGUGUGUAAGUGUUUGGAUAUUUCUGAAAUUGUACUACAAGGUUCCAUAUCACAAAGGGAAAGCUGGAAUUGAGUUUGGGGGUAAUUGCCCGAAACGUUUAGGAAUUGGGGGCCAAAAAGGGGCCAAAAAUAAGCAUUUUUCUAGUUUCCAGACAAUAACUUGUGUUCAAGUGUAUGGAUCUCUCUGAAAUUGUACUGCAAGGUACCAUACCACAAAGGGAAGGCUGGGAUUGAGUUUGGGGGUGAUGAAUCAUAAGGGGGUACAAAAAAUUUGGGGGGGGGGGGAUUUUUUUUUUUUUCUUUUUUUCCUUUUUUUUUUCUUUUAAAAUUUUCCAUUUUAAGUUGGUUAUUUCUGAUUUAUAUUUAAAAGCAAAUAAUAAUGAUAUGGUAGGAGAUAUACACCAAACAGGAUGUGUAAAUUAUUAUAUAAUAAGUAUUGUGCAAUAGCAAGAAAUUUUCAAUUGCACAGUAUUGCACAAUAGCAAGAAAUCUUCAAUUGCGCAGUAUUGCGCAAUAGCAAGAAAUCUUCAAUUGCACAGUAUUGCGCAAUAGCAAGAAAUAUCCAAUAGCACAAUAUUGCCCAAUAGCAAGAAAUUGUCAAUUGUACAGUAUUGCGCAAUAGCAAGAAAUUGUCAAUUGUACAGUAUUGCGCAAUAGCAAGAAAUAUUCAAUUGCACAGUAUUGUGCAAAAGAAGAUACUUCGUAUAAAUUGCUUAUUUCUUGAUCAAUUUCAAUGGGGUUUUAUUCUUGAAUUCUUGGGGUUCUUUAAUAUGCUGAAUCUAACCGUGUAUUAAGUUUUUGGAUUUUGGGCCUCGUUUUUAAAUUGGUCCACAUUGAGGUCCAAAGGGUCCAAAAUUUAACUUUGUUUGAUUUCAUCAAAAAUUGAAUUAUUGGGGUUCUUUGAUAUGCCGAAUCUAACCGUGUAUAUAGAUUUUUAAUUUUGGGUCCCGUUUUUUAAAUUGGUCUACAUUAAGGUCCAAAGGGUCCAAAAUUAAACUUAGUUUGAUUUUAACAAAAAAUGAAUUCUUGGGGUUCUUUGAUAUGCUGAAUCUAAACAUGUGUUUAGAUUUUUGAUUAUGAGCCCAGUUUUCAAGUUGGUCCAAGUUGGGGUCCAAAAUUAAACUUUGUUUGAUUUCAACAAAAAAUGAAUAUAUGGGGUUCUUUGAUAUGCUGAAUCUUAACAUGUAUUUAGAUUUUAGAUUUUUGGCCCAGUUUUCAAGUUGGUCCAAAUUGGGGUCCAAAAUUAAACUUUGUUUGAUUUCAACAAAAAUUGAAUAUAUGGGGUUCUUUGAUAUGCUGAAUCUUACCAUGUAUUUAGAUUUUUUAUUUGUGGGCCCGCUAUCAAAUUGGUUCAUAUUGAGGUCAAAAGGGUCCAAAAUUAAACUUUGUUUGAUUUCAUCAAAAAUUGAAUUAUUGGGGUUCUUUGAUAUGCCAAAUCUAACCGUGUAUUUAGAUUUUUAAUUUUGGGUCCUGUUUUUUAAAUUGGUCUACAUUAAGGUCCAAAGGGUCCAAAAUUAAACUUAGUUUGAUUUUAACAAAAAUUGAAUUUUUGGGGUUCUUUGAUAUGCUGAAUCUAAACAUGUGUUUAGAUUUUUGAUUAUGGGACCAGUUUUCAAGUUUGUCCAAGUUGGGGUCCAAAAUUAAACUUUGUUUGAUUUCAACAAAAAUUGAAUAUAUGGGGUUCUUUGAUAUGCUGAAUCUAAACAUGUUUUUAGAUUUUUGGCCCAGUUUUCAAGUUGGUCCAAAUUGGGGUCCAAAAUUAAACUUUGUUUGAUUUCAACAAAAAUUGAAUAUAUGGGGUUCUUUGAUAUGCUGAAUCUUACCAUGUAUUUAGAUUUUUUAUUUGUGGGCCCGCUAUCAAAUUGGUUCAUAUUGAGGUCAAAAGGGUCCAAAAUUAAACUUUGUUUGAUUUCAUCAAAAAUUGAAUAAUUGGGGUUCUAUGAUAUGCCAAAUCUAACCGUGUUUUAAGAUUUUUAAUUUUGGGUCCCGUUUUUUAAAUUUGUCUACAUUAAGGUCCAAAGGGUCCAAAAUUAAACUUAGUUUGAUUUUAACAAAAAUUGAAUUCUUUGGGUACUUUGAUAUGCUGAAUCUAAACAUGUGUUUAGAUUUUUGAUUAUGGGACCAGUUUUCAAGUUUGUCCAAGUUGGGGUCCAAAAUUAAACUUUGUUUGAUUUCAACAAAAAUUGAAUAUAUGGGGUUCUUUGAUAUGCUGAAUCUAACCAUGUAUUUUGAUUUUGGACAUUGGACCAUAAUAGGUAAAUUAAAAAAAUUGAAGUUCUUAGACCACAUUCUUUCUGUGUCAGAAACCUAUGCUGUGUCAAAUAUUUAAUCACAAUCCAAAUUCAGAGCUGUAUCAAGCUUGAAUGUUGUGUCCAUACUUGCCCCAACUGUUCAGGGUUCGACCUCUGCGGUCGUAUCAAGCUGCGCCCAGCGAAGCAUUUUAUUUAUAAACAGUGA